This 560-nucleotide ribosomal RNA is filed under the name uncultured bacterium. RNAcentral describes it as "bacterial SSU rRNA". It matches the Rfam family "Bacterial small subunit ribosomal RNA", at positions 64 to 653 of the family's 1533-position model. The record is from RNAcentral.
GAACGAUUAAAGCCCCUUCGGGGGUGUAUACAGUGGCGAAAGGGCGAGUAACGCGUUCCUACGUACCCCGAGGUCGAGGAUAGCCCAGGGAAACUUGGAGUAAUACUCGAUGUGGUGCUUCGGCAUCAAAGGCUUCGGUCGCCUUGGGAGCGGGGAACGUCUUAUCAGGUUGUUGGUGAGGUAACGGCUCACCAAGCCUAAGACGGGUAGCGGGUGUGAGAGCAUGGCCCGCCGCAUCGGGACUGAGACACUGCCCGGACUCCUACGGGAGGCUGCAGUAACGAAUCUUCCGCAAUGCGCGAAAGCGUGACGGAGCAAUGCCGCGUGCAGGAUGAAGCCUUUCGGGGUGUAAACUGCUGUCAGGGUUUAGCAACACAAUGAGCAGACCCAAAGGAAGGGCCGGCUAACUUCGUGCCAGCAGCCGCGGUAAUACGAAGGGCCCGAGCGUUAAUCGGAAUCACUGGGCUUAAAGCGUACGUAGGCGGACGCGCAGGCAUCUUGUGAAAUCCCUCGGCUCAACCGAGGAACUGCUUGGUGAACCGCGUGUCUUGAGGCAAGUA